AAUAUUGGGCAAUGGAUGGAAGUCUGACCCAGCCAUCCCGCGUGCCGGAAGACGGCCNNNAGGGUNGUAAACGGCUUUGUAUGNUGCNAAAUAUGCGGGAUGCGCUCUGUUUUAACGUUAGCCGUUGAAUAAGGACCGGCUAACUCUGUGCCAGCAGCCGCGGUAAUACGGAGGGUGCGAGCGUUGUCCGGAUUUAUUGGGUUUAAAGGGUGCGUAGGCUGGGAGGUAAGUCAGCGGUGAAAAGCACACGCUUGACGGGUGUCUUGCCGCAGAUACUACUUUUCUUGGAUGAGGAGGAGGUCACUGGAACGGAUGGUGUAGCGGUGAAAUGCAUAGAUAUCAUCCAGAACACCGAUUGCGAAGGCAGGUGACUGUACCUUAAUCGACGCUGAGGCACGAAAGCGUGGGGAGCGAACAGG
RNAcentral lists this ribosomal RNA (419 nucleotides) under uncultured bacterium. RNAcentral describes it as "partial 16S ribosomal RNA". It matches the Rfam family "Bacterial small subunit ribosomal RNA", at positions 360 to 776 of the family's 1533-position model. The record is from RNAcentral.